RNAcentral lists this unclassified non-coding RNA (24 nucleotides) under Dictyostelium discoideum. The record is from RNAcentral. Lineage: Eukaryota; Evosea; Eumycetozoa; Dictyosteliales; Dictyosteliaceae.
GGCAGCCAAAUGCCUCGUCAUCUG